UCUGCCCCUAGCAGCACUGUAGGUGUGCUGCUGUGUCACAUGUGCAUCAGUAGGUGGCAGAGAGGAGAGAGUCUAUGCCUAUGUUCAGUGUUCUGAUCUACAACAUCUGAAUGAUUAGUAGCCUAACACU
Grammomys surdaster is the source of this 130-nucleotide small nucleolar RNA. RefSeq annotates it as small nucleolar RNA SNORA17. The transcript has a single exon. The record is from RefSeq and is a predicted model, not a curated record. Lineage: Eukaryota; Metazoa; Chordata; Mammalia; Rodentia; Muridae.